AACGAACGCUGGCGGCAUGCCUAACACAUGCAAGUCGAACGAGACCUUCGGGUCUAGUGGCGCACGGGUGCGUAACGCGUGGGAACCUGCCCUUAGGUCCGGAAUAACUCCCCGAAAGGGGUGCUAAUACCGGAUAAUGUCUUCGGACCAAAGAUUUAUCGCCUUUGGAUGGGCCCGCGUUGGAUUAGCUAGUUGGUAGGGUAAAAGCCUACCAAGGCGACGAUCCAUAGCUGGUCUGAGAGGAUGAUCAGCCACACUGGGACUGAGACACGGCCCAGACUCCUACGGGAGGCAGCAGUGGGGAAUAUUGGACAAUGGGCGAAAGCCUGAUCCAGCAAUGCCGCGUGAGUGAUGAAGGCCUUAGGGUUGUAAAGCUCUUUUACCCGGGAUGAUAAUGACAGUACCGGGAGAAUAAGCUCCGGCUAACUCCGCG
This 433-nucleotide ribosomal RNA is filed under the name uncultured bacterium. Its description in RNAcentral is "partial 16S ribosomal RNA". It matches the Rfam family "Bacterial small subunit ribosomal RNA", at positions 29 to 507 of the family's 1533-position model. The record is from RNAcentral.